This 253-nucleotide ribosomal RNA is filed under the name uncultured bacterium. RNAcentral's name for it is "partial 16S ribosomal RNA". It matches the Rfam family "Bacterial small subunit ribosomal RNA", at positions 524 to 776 of the family's 1533-position model. The record is from RNAcentral.
UACGUAGGUGGCAAGCGUUGUCCGGAUUUACUGGGCGUAAAGAGCGCGCAGGCGGCUGGGCAAGUCCGAUGUGAAAGCUUCCGGCUUAACUGGAAAAUUGCAUCGGAAACUGCUCGGCGUGAAGGUGGGAGAGGGUAGCGGAAUUCCCGGUGUAGUGGUGAAAUGCGUAGAUAUCGGGAGGAACACCAGUGGCGAAGGCGGCUACCUGGCCCACUCUUGACGCUGAGGCGCGAAAGCUAGGGGAGCAAACGGG